This 89-nucleotide small nucleolar RNA is filed under the name Micromonas pusilla CCMP1545. RNAcentral describes it as "Small nucleolar RNA snoR1". It matches the Rfam family "Small nucleolar RNA snoR1". From Rfam's summary of the family: snoR1 is a member of the C/D class of snoRNA which contain the C (UGAUGA) and D (CUGA) box motifs. The record is from Rfam by way of RNAcentral. Lineage: Eukaryota; Viridiplantae; Chlorophyta; Mamiellophyceae; Mamiellales; Mamiellaceae.
GGCGAUGAUGAUCUUGUAUACUGUUUUUCUGACACCUCUUGUUUGAGAGCCUCGUCGUUCGAUGAACUCAAUACGCAAACCACUGAGCU